RNAcentral lists this long non-coding RNA (1832 nucleotides) under Chinchilla lanigera (long-tailed chinchilla). RNAcentral describes it as "lncRNA (ENSCLAG00000025986.1)". Lineage: Eukaryota; Metazoa; Chordata; Mammalia; Rodentia; Chinchillidae. The record is from RNAcentral.
AGUGCAGAAGGCCUCUUGUUCCACAAGCUUCUCUAUGUCCAGCUUUUCUAUGUACUGGAGGAACUGCGGGUCCAGUUGGUAAUCACCCACAGAAUGGGACGAGAGACAUCACGACCCAGGGCCACCUCACAUCAGCAGCGGCUUUGCUAAUGACGUUAAGAACAAAGGCAGACGGAAAAUUUUCUAUUGUCUCAAUUCUGAAAAGGGUUUAAUGAUCCCCUUGGAACUGAUGAUCUACACAAGAGGCCUGAGAAGUCCUUUCUGUCAGAGGCCCAGAGAGGGGGCCACGGUGGAGGACAGAGCCAACAAAAUACCUUUUGGGGAGAAAAGAAAAAAGAAAAAAAGAAAACUACCACCUUCCAAAGUAAGAUCAACUGCUAAGAAUAGUCAAAAGACACCCGGCUUUGAGCACCCUAGUUUCACCCUGCUGCACAAGAAAUUAAUUGUUUUCAAGUUUGAGGAUUCUGAGCUCCCUAUUCCUGGGGGAACUGGAAAGAGCCGACACACAGAGAUGCUUCUGAAGAGGUAGCAAUUCUGCCUUUUCUAAUCCUCCUUGGGGGGAGAAGUCACUUGAUGGAGCUUCGAGUGACAGGUUCCUCGCUGUUCUUUAAAGGCCACACUCAGUAUUAAGAAGGCACUUAAAAGACUUCUGCAAGAACUCUGCUACCGCUGUAUAUCCUGGUUGUUGCAAUAACGUGCACUUUUCUGAGAAAGUGCUCACAGACAUUGCAAACUGAAGUCUGCAUUUACUAUUUGCUAUUUCCACCUUUUCACCAAGAGGCUGUGGGAGGGUGCGAGGGUUUAGAUACAGUUUGUGUUCCUCAAGGGUCCACUGGGAUUAGAGGCUUGGUGCCCAGGGUGGCCCUACUGGGAGGGGUGGAACCUUUAGGAGCUUGGCCUGGGGCAGCCCCUUAGGUCACAGGAUGUACCCUGAGGAGGGAGUGUGGGACCUCAGUCUCUCUGACUUCCUGUUUGGCAAUGUCAGCACUUCCCCACGCAUGGGUCUGUGCUACAAUGUGAUGACAGCUAGGAGGCCCUUUUCCAGAGCCAAGCCCAUGCAGGUAACACACCCCUGGCAACUGUGAGCUAAACAAAUGCUGCGUCUUUAUGAAGUUAGCUGCCUCAGGUAUUUCACUGUGGUAACUCAAAGCGGAUGAAUACAGAGAGGACAUAUUAAAACAGUGGAAGGUACUAAAGAGAUGGUCUCUGACUCGUGAUGCGGGAUGUAACCCAGGACCUGCUGCAAAGGUGAGCAGUAAAGACAGGGACGUUGGGGCAUACAGGCAAACAAGCCAAGCAUCAAGCCAUCACGGCAUCUGUCAAAGGUGCACUAACCUCCACCUCCCCAAGGCAGCUACCUUGGCCUAGGUUAAUUGGUGGCUCCCAAAAAGUUACGUUCAAGUCCUAAAUCCUAAUAUGGGUGAAUGUGACCUUAUUUGGAAAUAGGAUCUUUGCAGAUGUGAUCAAAUUAAUACGAAAUCAUUCCAGAGUCGGUGAAUCUUAAGCCCAACAUGAAUGAUGUCCUUAGAAGAACCCUGAUGGACACAGACCAGCCCACGUGAGAAGGGAGGCAGACAGCAAGUGCCAAAGCUCCAAGCUAAAGAACAUUAACUGCAUGACAUGGGGCCCGGGAUAUAGCUCAACAGCAUAAGCACCUGCCUGGCAAGCCCAAGGUCCUGAGUUCAAUUCCUGGUACAAAAAAAAACCACAUUAACUGCAUGACACUUUAUUCUGAGAGUCACUCAGGCAGCACGUUUAUGUACAGACUAUCCCGAGCAUCCUUGGGCAGGGUCAUUUCAACUACUCAAUUCUUAUUUGCAGGAGAUACACUA